GACGAACGCUGGCGGCGUGCUUAACACAUGCAAGUCGAACGCUGAACCCGCUUCGGUGGGGGAUGAGUGGCGAACGGGUGAGUAACACGUGGGCAACCUGCCCCCGGCUCUGGGAUAACUCCAAGAAAUUGGGGCUAAUACCGGAUGUGACCGCUGGCCGCAUGGUCUGGUGGUGGAAAGGGUUUCCGGCUGGGGAUGGGCCCGCGGCCUAUCAGCUUGUUGGUGGGGUAGUGGCCUACCAAGGCGACGACGGGUAGCCGGCCUGAGAGGGUGACCGGCCACACUGGGACUGAGACACGGCCCAGACUCCUACGGGAGGCAGCAGUGGGGAAUAUUGCGCAAUGGGCGGAAGCCUGACGCAGCGACGCCGCGUGGGGGAUGGCGGCCUUCGGGUUGUAAACCUCUUUCAGCAGGGACGAAGCGCAAGUGACGGUACCUGCAGAAGAAGCACCGGCCAACUACGUG
Molecule: ribosomal RNA, 465 nt
Filed under: uncultured bacterium
Lineage: Bacteria
Description: partial 16S ribosomal RNA
Rfam family: Bacterial small subunit ribosomal RNA
Source: RNAcentral